This 557-nucleotide ribosomal RNA is filed under the name uncultured bacterium. Its description in RNAcentral is "bacterial SSU rRNA". It matches the Rfam family "Bacterial small subunit ribosomal RNA", at positions 102 to 694 of the family's 1533-position model. The record is from RNAcentral.
ACGGGUGAGUAACGCGUGGGAAUCUACCCAUCUCUACGGAAUAACGCAUGGAAACGUGUGCUAAUACCGUAUACGUCCUUCGGGAGAAAGAUUUAUCGGAGAUGGAUGAGCCCGCGUAGGAUUAGCUAGUUGGUGGGGUAAAGGCCUACCAAGGCGACGGUCCAUAGCUGGUCUGAGAGGAUGAUCAGCCACACUGGGACUGAGACACGGCCCAGACUCCUACGGGAGGCAGCAGUGGGGAAUAUUGGACAAUGGGCGCAAGCCUGAUCCAGCCAUGCCGCGUGAGUGAUGAAGGCCCUAGGGUUGUAAAGCUCUUUCACCGGUGAAGAUAAUGACGGUAACCGGAGAAGAAGCCCCGGCUAACUUCGUGCCAGCAGCCGCGGUAAUACGAAGGGGGCUAGCGUUGUUCGGAUUUACUGGGCGUAAAGCGCACGUAGGCGGACUAUUAAGUCAGGGGUGAAAUCCCGGGGCUCAACCCCGGAACUGCCUUUGAUACUGGUAGUCUUGAGUUCGAGAGAGGUGAGUGGAAUUCCGAGUGUAGAGGUGAAAUUCGUAGA